UACGUAGGUGGCAAGCGUUGUCCGGAAUUAUUGGGCGUAAAGCGCGCGCAGGUGGUUUCUUAAGUCUGAUGUGAAAGCCCACGGCUCAACCGUGGAGGGUCAUUGGAAACUGGGGAACUUGAGUGCAGGAGAGAAGAGUGGAAUUCCACGUGUAGCGGUGAAAUGCGUAGAGAUGUGGAGGAACACCAGUGGCGAAGGCAGCCCCCUGGGCCAAUACUGACGCUCAGGCACGAAAGCGUGGGGAGCAAACAGG
RNAcentral lists this ribosomal RNA (253 nucleotides) under uncultured bacterium. RNAcentral describes it as "partial 16S ribosomal RNA". It matches the Rfam family "Bacterial small subunit ribosomal RNA", at positions 524 to 776 of the family's 1533-position model. The record is from RNAcentral.